CAUGAUUGUGAGGCAUCCCCAGCCAUGUGGAAAUCUUUUCUGGUAACUCUGGAGAAUGUAAUAUCAGAAUAAAGAAAAAUCUUUCAGGACUCUCAUGGAGAGUUGAAAUGUUCAUGAACAUCAAGCAAAACAGGAGUUAACUAAAUUCACUGAACCAAUAAAAAAACUGAAGUAAUCUUUUAAA
Long non-coding RNA from Sapajus apella (tufted capuchin), 184 nucleotides. RefSeq lists it as uncharacterized. The record is from RefSeq and is a predicted model, not a curated record. The transcript is spliced from 2 exons. Lineage: Eukaryota; Metazoa; Chordata; Mammalia; Primates; Cebidae.